Molecule: long non-coding RNA, 2065 nt
Organism: Gallus gallus (chicken)
Lineage: Eukaryota; Metazoa; Chordata; Aves; Galliformes; Phasianidae
Source: Ensembl
UGUCCAGCCCUCACCACAUCCUGAUAUGGAGGGGAUUGGAGUCCUCCGUGCUCAAUGCAAUAAGAGAGUUCACCACCAUCUCAGGAGAUACUAAUCUGAUUAAAAGACUUACACCUUGCUUAACAAGUAACAACUGAUAGAACGUGUGGGAAUCUCACAAAGCUGCACCAAGGGAAAUUCAGACUGGAUAUAUGGAAAGAAUGUCUUAGCCAUGAGGAUGGUCAAACACUGGAACAGCCUUUCUAACUACGUGAUUGAUGUCCUAUGCCUAUCGCAUGUGGAAUUAGUCACAUGGAUGUGGACAGAACGCACAAAGCAGGACCUUUGGAAGCUGUGUGACAUCACUCCAACUUCAGGGUUGCUCUUUGCCUGCAUGUAUACAGUAGCUGCUUUACUGACUAACAUGAAACAGUGUCCAAAUGAAGUGUCCAUCAACCAGUGCUGGCCUUCAUGUGCUGCAAAGGUGAGCUGCUAAUUUGCAUAGAUCCAGGCUCUCAUGGAUUAUCAGUAGUUGCUCAUGUGCUGCCUCAUACAGGAACACCAGUGCAGUAUUUCUUCACUCCCAAGCUUUCAUGAACUACAGCACCUGAAAAAAGAAUCUAUGGAGUCAUACAUUUGUAGCUGAGAUUUUAGCCAAAGCAGAAGUAGAGGGGUUAACUGACAAGAAUAAGGAUUUAGGGUUUUUGUCUAAAGGUACUUAAUUGAGUCUUGUCUUUUAGUUCAGCAAGCAGUGGAUCAAGACCUGUCAGAUGGAAGUGAAUUAUUUUAACUCUGGCAGUCAGUAGCAGAAUCAUAAUAAGUGGUGUUCACAAUAAAGAAAAAAUUUAGAGUAUCAUACAAGAAAUAAGCAUUGCAGAUCAAGAAUACCUGGUUACCUGUUAUCUUCUUUGUGCCAUUUUCUAAAAGGAAAGUAUUAUAUUUUACUGUGAAGAAAUUUGUGGUUUAAGUUCCUUUAAAUCACUAUUUUACUGCCUUUAUACUUAUAAUGAAUGAAGACAAACAAAAAAGGUAAUAAAAAGAGAAUAAUAAAACAUUUCAAGACUGAUGAAACCGGGGAAUUAUACCUACUUAAAGAUUGCUGUCUUAUACUUUCCAAAUACAUGUGAGCCCUGAACUAAAGCCGAUCUUAUACCUGGGCUGUUCAUAAAUGUGCUUUGUGGUAACGUCCCUUAAGGACAGAGUCUGUAUUUCAGAAUUUUCAUUACCUUGAUUAUAGCCAGGUAUUCACCUGGCUUCCUAUGUACUUCGAAGUUUUAGGAAUUUAAUAAUUUUCACACAGUUUACUGGAUCAAAAUUGAUUGGGAAUACAGUUUGGUCAUUGUAUAUGCAUAUUGUGGAAAUGAAUAAGAUGCAUUUGCAUAGGAAACUAGAUCAGAAAGCAUAACGGACUUUGUAUUGCAGUUGAAUUACUAUUUGCAGUAGAAAUGGAACAACAAUGUGAUGUGAAAACCCAUAUUUAGCCACAAUAUCUAUGGAGAAUGAAAGUAAAUUACUUGUACUCUGAUUUGGAAGAACCAAUCUAGAAGUAAGAUUUUAGUAUAUAACAGUAUCUUAUAACGUACAUAUCAGCAAAACUAUCAAUUGUAAAUAUUGCAAAUGUUGAAGAUCUCUGUGAUAGUCUAUUUUAAUUACGUGUAUGACAUCAUUGGCAUAAUUCAAAUAGAUUAUCAUGUAUUUUCAGAUUGUGGUAUUUUUAGGUCUCCACUGAAUUGGACGAAGUUGCCUGGAUUGCCCUGUUCACCAGAAUACGCUUUAUUCAAAUGUAUGCAACUAGAUAAUAAUUGAAUCAGUCUUAAGUUGGUGACGUGUCACUGCUUUAUGGGCCAGAUAAUAAAAUAGGACAGGGCAAUAGUCAAAUAUUUCAAAGCCUUCUCUAAGCUAUUGAUAAUUUUUCCCAUAUGUUUUGAAAACAAAAUAAUUCAUAAUAAUGAUACUAGAAUACAUGCCAUUCGUUCUAAUAAAAGGCCAGCUGAAAAGAUAGGCAAAAGCUGGACUAGCGUUCUUGGCAACAAUACCCACUGUUCUAAAUGCAUUCUGAAUCAGAUUUAAUUUGAAUUAAGUAGAA